AGUGGGCAAAGAACCAACCUCUCGAGUAUGAGGGCGCGGGUUCGAUUCCAGGUCAGGCAAGUACCAAUGCAACUUUUCUAAGUUUGUAUGUACUUUCUAAGUAUGUCUUAGACACCAAUGACUGUGUUUCGGAUGGCACGUUAAACUGUAGGUCCCGGCUGUCAUUGAACAUCCUUGGCAGUCGUUACGGGUAGUCAGAAGCAGGGUCUGUCAAGUUUGUUCUACGAAUUGCAUUAAGGUGGGCUUGAAAACAAGAGAGAGUCAACGACAUCAGAGUAAAAGAGAUAAAUAUAUAAUGUUGCCACCAAAAAUACAAUUUCGUAUUCUCCCUAAUAAUGAGCGUAUAAAUUGAUUUUUAAAGUAAAUUACCCUUGAAGAUACUUUUAGCUAUUAUUCUAAUGCCAAAAAAUAUACUUAGUUGAGAAAUAUUAGAUAUAAAAUUUAAUAUUACUUAUUAGAAAAUAUAUAUGGGGGAUUAUGUGUGGCAACACUAAUGUCCGGACGCCAUAUUGGUUUUGACAUUGUUGACGUCACAAGAAAAAUGUCUGCGGCCGGUUGCGCACCAUUUUAUCUUGUACUAAUGUUUAUUUGUAAUAAAUAAACUACUUCCAUUUAAUUCUACAUACAUUGAUAACGUUGAGUCGAGCUUGCUCCUCCGUUGCUGUGUUUUGGUGAAAUUAAGUGUGUAUUUGUGAGAUAUAGACUCGGUGUUGAGACAGUGACUUGUUUGAUUUUGUUUUGUGUUUAAUUCGCGAUGAGUUCACAAAAAGAAAACACAAGAAUCUGCUGCUUGUGUGGAUCUUCACCUUCUAAAGAUCCCAGCAUCACUUUGCAUCGGUUUCCAAAGCCUGGCACUAAAAAUGCUCUGCGUUGUGAAUUAUGGGCAAAGUAUUGCUUCCCAAACGAAGCCUGGUCUUCACCAAAAUUCCAGGACGCACUCCAUAAACAACAUAAGAUGCUAUGCAGCAAACAUUUCAAAAGCACAUGCUUUAAUGAGAAGAAGUUGUUCAGAACAGCUGUACCUGAAAAACAGAUUUGGCUGCAGUAAUGUUUGAAAUGUUAAAACUUGGCAAGAUCGUUUUUCAAAAAUUUGUUUCAGCCCGGAACGAAAUACAUUGAUAUAUAGCUUUUGUUGUGUAGUAAAUGUUUGUAAAUAUCAAAAUAUAAUUGGUCUAGUGUCUUUCUCUUCCUAAUCAUUUCUAUAAUAAAGAAGAAAUAACACCAACGUUUAUUACACAAUAUGAUAGAAUAAUUUAAACCAUGUCUGUAAACUUGUUGUUUGUUAAACAAAUCGAUAGUAUUCUUUAUUGUAUAAUAACAUAGUCUUGUUUUUUAUAAUAGUAACACUUUAAAACUAACUAGAAUUUUUGUUUGUUUAUGUUUUGAUGUUGAAAUUGUAUGCAAUAGGCCCAUCCAUACUUGUUAUUUUGGACGAAAAUGUCUGAAAUACCUACCUAAAUUGAUUAAAUUCAUGUAUUUUAAAAUUCAUUACAUAGGUGCACAUACUUGUGAUUUAUGAACACCUUUUGUACCCUAUUUCUGGAAAUAAAUUAUAAUUAUUAACAUGCUAAAUAAAAAACUCUUGUACUGUAA
This is a long non-coding RNA of Helicoverpa armigera (cotton bollworm), 1593 nucleotides long. RefSeq lists it as uncharacterized. The transcript has 2 exons. NCBI's taxonomy places the organism in Eukaryota, Metazoa, Arthropoda, Insecta, Lepidoptera, Noctuidae. The record is from RefSeq and is a predicted model, not a curated record.